This is a non-coding RNA of Solanum lycopersicum (tomato), 1434 nucleotides long. Lineage: Eukaryota; Viridiplantae; Streptophyta; Magnoliopsida; Solanales; Solanaceae. The record is from RefSeq and is a predicted model, not a curated record.
CACAUGUGGUUGUCUCUGGAUCAAGUAGUUGGCCGUGAGCAAAUAUUCGCUGACAGUCUGUCUUCAUCUUCGUGGAACCCACUUUACUCUCUCUAGUGCGCCUCUAUUAACACCUGCCCUAUAUACUCUCUCUCUCUCGUAGUUUCUACUUCCAGAACUCAUCUCUCUCUCCGGCAGGCCGGCGAUUGGGUCAAACCUCAUUGUUUGACCAUGGCAUCCAUGAUUGAAUCUGCUUGGACGUAUCUGAUUACAAAUUUCAAUGACUUCCAAUUGGCUUGUCUUGGAAGUUUCUUUCUUCAUGAAAGUGUCUUCUUCUUGUCUGGACUUCCUUUCAUUCUUCUAGAAAGGGCAGGAUGGUUGAGCAAAUAUAAAAUUCAGACAAAAAAUAAUACUCCUGCAGCUCAGGAGAAAUGUAUCACUCGCCUGUUGCUGUAUCAUUUUUGUGUUAAUCUCCCGCUUAUGAUGGCAUCCUAUCCAGUCUUCAAAUUAAUGGGGAUGCGAAAUACUCUUCCGUUGCCGUCCUGGAAAGUGAUCUCUACGCAAGUAUUAUUCUACUUUAUCCUGGAGGAUUUUGUAUUCUAUUGGGGACACAGGAUUUUACAUACUAAAUGGCUCUACAAGCAUGUCCACAGUGUCCAUCACGAGUAUGCAACACCAUUUGGAUUGACCUCUGAAUAUGCUCACCCUGCUGAAAUUCUUUUUCUUGGAUUUGCUACAAUAGUGGGUCCAAUCAUUACUGGGCCCCAUUUGAUAACAUUAUGGUUGUGGAUGAUAGUUAGAGUCCUUGAGACAGUUGAAGCACAUUGUGGUUACCAUUUCCCAUGGAGCCUAUCAAACUUCUUGCCAUUAUAUGGGGGGGCUGAUUUUCAUGAUUAUCAUCACCGACUGCUCUACACAAAGUCUGGAAAUUAUUCUUCAACAUUUGUUUACAUGGACUGGCUAACAGAAGAGUAUCAUAGAGCCACAAAAUUCUUUUAGGAGUUGGCAUGAAUAUGUCAACACAAUUCUGAUGAAGCCUUGAGACAAAGACAUUGGAAGUUAUUUGGUACUGACAAGGGUUACAGAAGAUUGAAGGUGCUGAAGAGUGAUGCAUGUGAAGCUGAGGGUAAAGAAAUGUAGAGAUGUGAAAGGGUAAGUUUUGGCUGGUCUGGCAUUGCAAGACGGGCUUAUGUACAAGAGCGUAUAGGUGAAGGUUUCUGUUGUUGAUACCUCAGUUUUAUGUGCUUGUGUUCGAUUGUAGUUAUGGCAUGAACAUCAUCUACUUUGUAGUGUCAUCUUAGAAAUUAGAAGCAAGUCUUGGAAAAUUUCUCCUUGCAAAUGUGCCUGCCUUUGUUUCGGCUAUUUACGUUAUUCAAGUUCCAUUAUUUACAUGUUUCUUCUCAUUGAUGGGUGACCUAUAUUGGAACCAACUUAAUCUGAUUUUUGUGAUCUCAA